Molecule: non-coding RNA, 26 nt
Filed under: Homo sapiens (human)
Lineage: Eukaryota; Metazoa; Chordata; Mammalia; Primates; Hominidae
Source: RNAcentral
UAAGGGAUUCUGGUCUGAUGAAUGAA